AAGAGCACAACAAUUUUCGUAUCUCACCUUAAUUUGGUAACUAUGAUUUAAUUUUUUGACAUAGAAGAUUACAACCUGCGCAAACGCAAGGCGGAACGGCGUAAGUGCUUUAAAAGGCGCCGUGUGCAAGUGCCGUAUCUAAAGAACAAUGAAUAUAAAAAGGUUUAUCAAACUUGACGCCUAUUUUAUGGUCGAUAUUUAAUCCUUACUGGCCAUAUUUUGACGGAACUGUCAAUGAAACUUCAAGCAGACAUACUUGACAUCCGUACAAGAAAUGGCUUGAGUGCUGUUUUAUUCAAAAACAUGAAAUAUAUAUAAAAAUGGAUUUGUGUCAAAUAAAAGCAUCCAUGUCGUUUUCACCUCAUCGAAUGUCCUAAUUGAUCCACCACGGCACCAUAUCGUAACGGAUCCUCCACAGUCCACACAGUCGAAUGGAGGGUGGGAGGAGGCAAAUGCGUCUGCUGGGUCGAUUACUGGGGAAACUGCGUGGCGGCAACAGCACCUUUGAAAAACGGCUUUCUACUUCCACAUCCAGCGGGGUUAUAUUCCCAACAAAGUUCAGCAACAGCGAGAGCACGAUGACUGACGACGAAGACGCAGCGCCCUCUACUCCUUCCUCACGGAGUCCUCUUGGCGCUAACAUCGAUUUGAGAUACAGUGGGCAAUGCAUGACGCCUGAGCAACUACCUGAAUUCUGCAACCAACUACACCACCUGGUCGAGGUGAUUAGAAACAUCCAGUCUUAUGGGAAAAUCACUGGCGAAUAUCCGAGUGAACUUGAGAAGCGUCUAGAAGAGGAGGCGCGAGAACUAGCCGCGCUCGCGGCGGAGGCGCGUAACGCGCGCGAUGUGGUGACGCGCACGCGCGCCCAGCGCCGCGCUGUUCGCGCGCAGAAGAAACAGCUCGUCGCGCACCUCGCCAGCCUCAAGGAAACUGAAACACGUGAACUGGAGAAUUCCAUUCGACUAGCGGACCGCAAAUUGUAUUUGAGUUGGGAAGCCCUCAAAGAAUCUACAGAUCCGACUGCUUUGGAACCUUUGCUGGAAGAAGUUACGACCAAACAAAUAGCCUUGGAUAACCUGGUGCGCCUGAUAGAGUGCCGGCGUUCGUCCCUCACUCGUAGCACCACCCCGCCUACGCUGUUCGCAGGAGCCGAUAAGUCGGAUGGUAAACCCACUGGCCUUGUACUGACACGCUCCCAUUCGAGACCAGCUCGUUCGAAGGAGGCGCCCGACGGUUCGUACAGAAGGCUUAAUACAAGUCUUGCCAAGUUUACGCGAUUAGUGGGAGGAUUUGUUCGAAGUAUCUCCACAAAAAAAUGAGAAGAAUUCUCAUUAUUAAACAGUGAGCAGGCAGGAUGUUCACAACCCGCAUCGUCGAUAUCCUUUUAUAGAUUCGAAGACAGAAUGUUUUAUAUCCUCAAUAGUUACAACUUCGUUCUAAAGUCGAGUGCCGCAGGCAAGAAAAAAUUCGACGGUUCCAAACGGGCCGUCAAAAGAAAACGGGCGCGAGAGCCGCGAUCGGUGCCUCUCUCGGGCGAGCCUAGCAGACAUGGGCCGCAGCAACAG
Molecule: unclassified non-coding RNA, 1568 nt
Filed under: Leguminivora glycinivorella
Lineage: Eukaryota; Metazoa; Arthropoda; Insecta; Lepidoptera; Tortricidae
Description: uncharacterized LOC125229080, transcript variant X1
Source: RNAcentral